AUGGUUCGUUGAUGAUCAAGUUUCCGGGUUAGUUCUUGAUCUAACACAUUGUGGACACUUUAAAUUUCUUGUACACAUUAUCAUAGAGGUACUCCGCCAGUAUAUGAAAGUUACUCUCUUUCAACAAUUUCAGUUACACGAGAAGUUACUCCAAUUGGAUGACAUUUGCGAUAGUGAAGGAAAGUAAACCUCCUUUCAAGCUAGUUUCGUUCACCUUGUUUUCAGAGAAUUCUGCCAAAUAAUUUGUGUUUAAAAGUGCAUCUUUUUUGUUUAACAGGGAGCAGGGCAUACUCCAUCGAAGUAUAAACCUCGUGAAAGUCUGGCGAUGUUUAUAAGGUGGUUGUCUUACCAACCUUUGUGAUCAACAAAUGUAUCACUAUCUGUUGGCAAAUCUGGCUACUGGACCAGUGAAGUCAGUUCAGAUUUAGAUUUAUUGGAAUAAUAAACGAGUUCUUUUUAUUUAGUAGUUUUAUCUAUUGUACUUACUAUUGAUUAUUGCAACGUUAACUGAAAGUACUUCCACUUGUAGAAAUUCAUUUAUCGUUGCUGUUAAUUCUUAUCAUUUGG
Molecule: long non-coding RNA, 567 nt
Filed under: Capsicum annuum
Lineage: Eukaryota; Viridiplantae; Streptophyta; Magnoliopsida; Solanales; Solanaceae
Description: long non-coding RNA (CANN_LNC008685)
Source: RNAcentral